UAAUGAUGAUAUGGGUAGUCCUAAAGAAGAGACUUGAAUCUCUCCUAAGCAUGGUAUAAGUUAUCAUUCGUCUUCUGCUUGAAACUAGAAAUCUCACUGCACAGUCU
Molecule: non-coding RNA, 107 nt
Organism: Capsicum annuum
Lineage: Eukaryota; Viridiplantae; Streptophyta; Magnoliopsida; Solanales; Solanaceae
Source: Rfam